CCUACGGGAGGCAGCAGUCGAGAAUCAUUCACAAUGGGGGCAACCCUGAUGGUGCGACGCCGCGUGGGGGAAUGAAGGUCUUCGGAUUGUAAACCCCUGUCAUGUGGGAGCAAAUUAAAAAGAUAGUACCACAAGAGGAAGAGACGGCGAACCCUGUGCCAGCAGCCGCGGUAAUACAGAGGUCUCAAGCGUUGUUCGGAAUCACUGGGCGUAAAGCGUGCGUAGGCUGUUUCGUAAGUCGGGUGUGAAAGGCCCGGGCUCAACCUGCGGACGGCACAUGAUACUGCGAGACUAGAGUAAUGGAGGGGGAACCGGAAUUCUCGGUGUAGCAGUGAAAUGCGUAGAUAUCGAGAGGAACACUCGUGGCGAAGGCGGGUUCCUGGACAUUAACUGACGCUGAGGCACGAAGGCCAGGGGAGCGAAAGGGAUUAGAUACCCCUGUAGUC
This 446-nucleotide ribosomal RNA is filed under the name uncultured bacterium. Its description in RNAcentral is "partial 16S ribosomal RNA". It matches the Rfam family "Bacterial small subunit ribosomal RNA", at positions 338 to 795 of the family's 1533-position model. The record is from RNAcentral.